Molecule: ribosomal RNA, 445 nt
Rfam family: Bacterial large subunit ribosomal RNA
UAGCCUAAAUGUGUUAUUUUAGGUAAAUUCUGCCCAGCGUAUAUUAUUAGCGGCCGCAGUACCUUGACUGUGCUAAGGUAGCAUAAUCAAUUGGCUUUUAAUUGAAGUCUGGAAUGAACGGAUAAAUGGAAAUUUACUGUCUUUUUAGUAAUUUUUUGAAUUUAUUUAUUAAGUGAAAAUACUUAAAAACAGAAAAAAGACGAGAAGACCCUUAGAAUUUUUAAUAAAAUAAUUAUUAUUAUUAUUUUUUUGUUGGGGCGACACUGAAACAAUUAAACUUUCUUUAUUUCAAGACAUUAAGAUUUGAAAGAAUAAAUUACCUUAGGGAUAACAGCAUAAUUAUUUAUUUAGUUUGUGACCUCGAUGUUGGACUAGGAACUAAAAGAUUAACCGUCAAAUUAGAUUGUUCUGUUCGAACAGAAAUUCCUACGUGAUCUGAGUUCAG